GGCCGGCCACGCCCCCGGGAGGUCACGUGAGGGGGCGGUGGGAACCGACACGUGGGCGCGGGGCCGCCGCCGCCUGGGCCCCGCCGCCGCCAAGGAAGAGCCCGGGACACAGCGGUGCAGCUCGGCUGCCUCCUUUGCCGUUCACUUUUAUUGAUGUGGAUAAAUACACAGCGAGAGACAGCGCCCGCGAGCGACCGAGCACCGGCGCCGGGCCCGGGGAUGUCCUUACCGGGCGCCCUUACCGGGGGCUGCUGCACCCGGCUUCGGCCCUCGCUCCCGGCGCUCGCCCAAGCGGGGAAGAGGAAAGCAGCAGGGGAGGCUCCCGUCGCCCCCGCGACCCCGGAGACGGCAGCUAUAAACCAAAGCAGCUUUAGGUAGAAAGGGAAACCCUGGCUCUGUGCCCUACCGGGGGCAGCAGACCCAUGUUCCCUGCCCGCGGGUGACACAGGCCCCGUGCUCCCUGCCAGGAGGAAAGACGCACUUUGGGGGGGCCCAGGAAAAGCGUCUGCGCGUUCAGUACGGCCUGAAGCACGGCAGCAGGAAACCCAGGGACACCUGAGCCCGCGUCCAGUGACCGCCCCGGCCACCCCGAGGGCCUUCACGCCUCCGGCUCACCCCAAAGCACCAGCUCGCAGCCCCGCAAACCGCGAGCGAAGCCUGAAACAAAGAGACGCGGAAAUCGCUCAGAGGAUGCUUCUGCGGGGGCUGCCUGCGAGGCGGGGGCAUGGGCACCAGCCUUGCCCCCAUGCAUGGGCCUGACGGGCGCUGAACGCUUAAGACCGGCCUGGGAGAUGCCUUACGCGGCAGAUCCCCAGCCAGAGCAGCAGCCACCCUGCAGUUAAGGCUUUUGCAGCAACAAGAACCAGGCGCGUAGCUAGUCUUGAAGAUGCUCAAGUUUUCCAGGACACACGCAGAGACUCGCGAGCACGUGACAUCGAUACCUCGCUGCAGCCGAGGUAAGGAAUCGCUCCCUGCUGAAUAACGGAAAGGGCAGCGCGAUCUGCUGCAACGCCUGACAAACCACGCCGCAACAUCUCAAAGCACCCGCGUAAGCAAGACAGAACUCUCUGCUGGGAGCCUCAAACGUAAACUCUGCACUUGAAAAGUUAUCGUGGUGGUUGACCAGCCCCAGCAAGCUGGCACCGGCACGGCUUAGCAUUACUGAUCACUCUAAAACAAGCAGAACUGGAUGUAGAACAGAGUUUCACAAAAACAUAUGGAGACAGUACAUUUAUUGAAGUUUGGAAAAGUAUAGUCUGAGAACAAAAUAAGUCAGCUUUUCCAAAACCUUAGACCGAAACUUCUCACCUCCAGCUGGAUUCCCCGUUCCGGGAUCUAGGUAGCAGUAAAAGCUGCGUUUCCAGCGUGGUGAGAUAACAGCAAAGUGCACACAGGAUUCCCUGAACGAGCUCCCCCACGGCCCGGGCAGGAACUCGUGCCUGACACUGGGCCCAGGGCCGAGGAGGAGCAGCAGUCCCUCCGAAGCCGCCCAUCCUGCCUGUUUUCAUCUUAUUUCUCAACUGGAGAACUCGCUACAGCUCCUCUCAGAUUAAACCCUGCACAACUACAGAGCACGUCUGUCGAAGUACUUCACGUUUGUACCUAGGCUAGGCUCUACAUGGCUUAUAUGCUCCAAACACUGUUACUCAGGCCGUACCCUGCACCUUCCCACGCAGCCAUGCGCCAGCAGCGCCCUGCCCUGCUGGGGACGGGCGGGAGGGCGUUACGUCUUGCGCUUGGGCAAGUGGCCUCCGAGGUUUCGCACUACGCCUGGGCACGAGCUGCUCCGCGUACGAGGCCCCUCGUGGGCAGCUCAUGUGUCCCCUCUCCCUAAAACAGCCACCGGAGGUGACAGACAGGUCCUCAGCCAAGCCCGCAGCCACCGCCUCGCCCUGGAUGUCCACAUCGCACCACUACUGCGAACGCCCCAACACUUCUGCCACCCUUUCCAUAGCCAACGUUAAGAAUCAUGAUCCGCAACGCGACUCAAACGUGCCCCGUGCGCAGCUCUCCCCGCUCGCACACCCGUUCCCCUCCCCUGCAUCAGCUCCGCAGCGCCAGGUGAGCGAGGUCUCCCGGGCACCGCACUGACUCCCGGCCCUUCUGCCGGGCAGGCGACACGCGAGGUGAAGCUGGCGAGACUCCUCCACCAUCGCCCCAGCAGCCACAACCUCCAACAUGCUCCCUCCUCCCUGAACCGCCACGGGGAUUUCUCAGCAGAAGCAGCGCGACCUGCCACACAGCCUCUCAUUCAGCAGGAAGGAAGACAGCCUAAAUGAGAGCCACUGCUGCAGCUGAGGAACCCGAAGCAACAGCAGGCAGAGCAAUUCCGAACUACCCCGAGUCGGCAGCAGCUGGGAUCUCCUCUACUGCCCCAGCCGAGCUGCCUCCAGUCCUGCCCUCUCCACACACCGCUUCCUCUGCUCCAUCCCCAAAAGGCUCCUGAACCACUUCCCGUUGCCAACGGCUCGACUGGAGCCUCCUGACCAACCACGGACGCGGCCUGAGCCCCGCACGAGGGUCCCCUGCAGCACCUGCCAGCGUUACAAAAUUAAAAUGAACAAAACACUAAGAUAUAAGUUACUGCUUAAAUUAUUUGUAAAAUGUCUUAGAUUUUCUGUGACACAUUUUAAAUACCCCCCAGGGCUCCCCACAGUACAUGAUCCCCAGAGGGGGCUUCAGUUCCAGCAGGGACAGACCCCACCACUAACUGGAAGUCGGUGGGGGAGGGAGCGAGGAACAGAGAAAGGGUUUCUUAUCCUUUCACAGCUUCGACAACUCCGCGCUCUAAAUACCAAUAAUAAAAGUUAUAAUAAAAUA
Molecule: long non-coding RNA, 2820 nt
Organism: Dromaius novaehollandiae (emu)
Lineage: Eukaryota; Metazoa; Chordata; Aves; Casuariiformes; Dromaiidae
Exons: 2
Source: RefSeq, a predicted model, not a curated record